AGUGGACAUAUUUAUGCAGCGUUCACGUUAGACAGAGAACAGGACAACGGUGGAAACGGCUGUGACGGCUGGAGGGAUCCGUUGCUGCCGAGUCGAACGGGUCACGGCGUCACGGUGUCCUUCUCCCCGGGGACAUUUAUGACAUCGUCUGACACCAGUUACUCUUUAAGCAGCCGGGCCUCCGGCCGGGGACGACCGGGGAACCAACAUCCUUGAGUUAGGACGACACACUGUCCAUUUAGGAGAAGCCACAGACAGGUAAGGCUCCAAUUAGCUUAGCAUAACGAC
Molecule: long non-coding RNA, 288 nt
Organism: Gasterosteus aculeatus aculeatus (three-spined stickleback)
Lineage: Eukaryota; Metazoa; Chordata; Actinopteri; Perciformes; Gasterosteidae
Source: Ensembl